RNAcentral lists this ribosomal RNA (440 nucleotides) under uncultured bacterium. RNAcentral describes it as "bacterial SSU rRNA". It matches the Rfam family "Bacterial small subunit ribosomal RNA", at positions 338 to 793 of the family's 1533-position model. The record is from RNAcentral.
CCUACGGGAGGCAGCAGUAGGGAAUCUUGCGCAAUGGGCGAAAGCCUGACGCAGCAACGCCGCGUGGGGGAUGAAGGCUCUCGGGUUGUAAACCCCUUUCAGCAGGGACGAACACUGACGGUACCUGCAGAAGAAGCCCCGGCCAACUACGUGCCAGCAGCCGCGGUAAUACGUAGGGGGCGAGCGUUGUCCGGAUUUAUUGGGCGUAAAGAGCUCGUAGGCGGCUCGGUAAGUCGGAUGUGAAACCUCCAGGCUCAACCUGGAGACGCCAUCUGAUACUGCCGUGGCUCGAGUCCGGUAGAGGAGCAGGGAAUUCCUGGUGUAGCGGUGAAAUGCGCAGAUAUCAGGAGGAACACCAGCGGCGAAGGCGCUGCUCUGGGCCGGUACUGACGCUGAGGAGCGAAAGCGUGGGGAGCGAACAGGAUUAGAUACCCUGGUAG